AUGCAGUGUUUGAAGGAUUAAAAAAUCACUAAAUCUUUCUUUUUGGUUCAGUUAAUCUUCUCAAUGAUUAAAUAGUUAAACUUCUCUUCUUCUUCUUGCUAAAGCCACCAGCUUUACCCUUUGCGUUGCUCUGCUGCUCAUAUCAAUUGUUCUAUCUUAAUCUGUAUUAUUAUGGUGUUACUUGUCUGAGAAUUAGUUUAAAGAAAAGGGGUUGUGCAGUUUUUCUCACAAAGAAAAAAAAUGCAAAGAGUUAGGGUAUCAUCACAUCAAGCUCCAGUGCAAAGGCUAGGAGAUUCACAAAUGACAUUGUCUCCAAAGUUUAGGUUAGCUGCAAAGCAAUCUGAUUUACUUGAUCCUUCAUUUGAUUUAGAAAUGUGGCGAAAGGGAGAACCCUUAAUUCCUGGACUUCCAGAUGAUGUUGCUCUCAACUGUCUCCUUAGGAUACCUGUCAAUGACCAUA
This 460-nucleotide unclassified non-coding RNA is filed under the name Hevea brasiliensis (rubber tree). Lineage: Eukaryota; Viridiplantae; Streptophyta; Magnoliopsida; Malpighiales; Euphorbiaceae. The record is from RNAcentral.